UGCGUUGUAACCCCCGCCGGGGAUACGUUAUCAAUGAAUGAAAUCUGCGUUGUAACCCCCGCUGGGGAAAGGCUUUUAAGGUUACGACCCUAUAUUUUACGGCAUCGGACCUGUGUGAGGCAUUGCCGAGUAUAAUUUGCAAACGCUGAGCUUAUCAGUAUAGUGUACCUUGUAUUUAGGCGAAUACCAAUGAGUGACAUGUAAAGCUAUAAUUUGACUUGUGAC
Molecule: long non-coding RNA, 225 nt
Filed under: Panax ginseng (ginseng)
Lineage: Eukaryota; Viridiplantae; Streptophyta; Magnoliopsida; Apiales; Araliaceae
Description: long non-coding RNA (PGIN_LNC015837)
Source: RNAcentral